This 253-nucleotide ribosomal RNA is filed under the name uncultured bacterium. Its description in RNAcentral is "partial 16S ribosomal RNA". It matches the Rfam family "Bacterial small subunit ribosomal RNA", at positions 524 to 776 of the family's 1533-position model. The record is from RNAcentral.
UACGAAGGUGGCAAGCGUUGUUCGGAUUUACUGGGCGUACAGGGAGCGUAGGCGGUUGGGUAAGCCCUCCGUGAAAUCUCCGGGCCUAACCCGGAAAGUGCGGAGGGGACUGCUCGGCUAGAGGAUGGGAGAGGAGCGCGGAAUUCCCGGUGUAGCGGUGAAAUGCGCAGAUAUCAGGAAGAACACCCGUGGCGAAGGCGGCUCUCUGGGACGGUACUGACGCUGAGACGCGAAAGCGUGGGGAGCGAACAGG